CCUACGGGGGGCAGCAGUGGGGAAUAUUGGACAAUGGGGGGAACCCUGAUCCAGCCAUGCCGCGUGUGUGAAGAAGGCCCUCGGGUUGUAAAGCACUUUCAGUGAGGAAGAACGCCUGGUGGUUAAUACCCAUCAGGAAAGACAUCACUCACAGAAGAAGCACCGGCUAACUCCGUGCCAGCAGCCGCGGUAAUACGGAGGGUGCGAGCGUUAAUCGGAAUUACUGGGCGUAAAGCGCGCGUAGGUGGCUUGAUAAGCCGGUUGUGAAAGCCCCGGGCUCAACCUGGGAACGGCAUCCGGAACUGUCAAGCUAGAGUGCAGGAGAGGAAGGUAGAAUUCCCGGUGUAGCGGUGAAAUGCGUAGAGAUCGGGAGGAAUACCAGUGGCGAAGGCGGCCUUCUGGACUGACACUGACACUGAGGUGCGAAAGCGUGGGUAGCAAACAGGAUUAGAUACCCCGGUAUC
RNAcentral lists this ribosomal RNA (464 nucleotides) under Vreelandella stevensii. Its description in RNAcentral is "partial 16S ribosomal RNA". It matches the Rfam family "Bacterial small subunit ribosomal RNA", at positions 338 to 794 of the family's 1533-position model. The record is from RNAcentral. Lineage: Bacteria; Pseudomonadati; Pseudomonadota; Gammaproteobacteria; Oceanospirillales; Halomonadaceae.